UUGCACCUGAUAUCAGCAAACCAUUACAUCUGUGG
Molecule: ribosomal RNA, 35 nt
Filed under: Phytophthora colocasiae
Lineage: Eukaryota; Oomycota; Peronosporomycetes; Peronosporales; Peronosporaceae
Description: partial 28S ribosomal RNA
Source: RNAcentral